UUGUAGUGCAGGACUCCUCCCAUAUUCUCAGUAAAAUUCCAAUAGAUAAACUCCCAUUGUCAACAAAUACCCAGCAAAACUCCUAAGUCCAGCAGUUUCUUUCAACCUGCAUGUGGAAAACCAAUUGAAUAUACCAGCACUAUCAUUAUAAAUCAUUAACUACUAUAGUAAAACUCUCAAAUUUUGGAUGCAACAGAAUCAUUUACAAAUUCAAACUCAAUCUGCAUGCGCAACAGAAAUGAAUCUAGCCAAUACUAUCAUUAUAAAGAGUUAUCUAUUAAAGUAAAACUCCAACUUUCAGAUGCAACAUAAAUUAAUUCCUUGUUGCAAUAAAACAUGGAACUAAAAGGGUAUAUAUAAAAGCUGGUUAACUUUCCUACAAGUACGAAAAUAAGGAAGAAGCUUUGCUUUGAAUAAAAAGUAAGGAAAAAAUGAGGAAUGAAUUCUUAUGCUGAGAAAAUGGUUACUAUGUUGGGUCAACGAGACAUGGGAAAUUUGGGCUACAAUUCCUAUGUUACAAUGUUUCUCCAUCUCAUAAAUUGGUGCUGCAGAAAUAAAGUAUCAGAUUUAGUUAAAAAGUAGCAUUAUUUCAAACUUGAAAUCCAACAAGGAUGCAAUAUUAUAGUUUUUUCUUCUCCAUAUUUUCUCUCGCGGAGAUUCUUGGAAAACUUGAGAAAAAUCCAAGUUGUUCAAAGAACAUGUAACAAAUUAGUAAUCAAAACACCCAUCAAUAAAGAUGUUUCAUAAGAUCUGAGACAUAUAUGUUUGUUGAUCAAUGUCAUUCAUAGCCAAAAACAAGUAUUUAUCAAAAAUCCAAUCCCAUAAAUUCCCAACAAAUAGUUUCCCCCAAUAAACACUUAUUUUGAAGUCAAAACCACAUCAUGUUAAAACAAAUUCUUAUCAAAUAAAUAGUGCUUUUUUACGAUAAUAACAGUAAACCAAUGAGAUAAUUGAAAAAAUUAAAUUAAAUAAGUGACCCCUAAGCAACUCAUUAGGUACUUAUCCUGAAGCAUUAUUAUGUAGACCAAUAUCUAUUACAAAUAUCUCAGUAAUGACUUGAUAAAAAGUGUUACCAAAUGAUAUGGAUUUAAUAAAAUAUAAUCAUCUUCUUGGCUCGGCUCUCCCUGUUUUCCACUGUUAUUGUCCAUGAAAAAUGAAUAUUUAAGUUAAAAUGCAACAAAAUGACCAACUCCAAGAUUAAGUAAUCACAAAAUUGAAAUAACCAAUGGAUCUAAAGCCAAAAGAGCCAUAUAAAUUACAACUGUUCUCUAAUAAAACAAGGCAAGGGAACAAAUACGUCAGCUUUUAUGUUUGCAUGCAUGUGAAAUGUAGUGACUAGUGAGAAUAGUUAAAAGGGAGAGCAAGAGCAAGUUUUAAGAGAGAUUUAAUGAAGUCAACUCUUUCACGCAAUAAGAAAUCGGUGAAUCACAUAAAUUAAUAUAUUUUUCUUAAUUUGAAAAGACCAAGCAAGCAAGCUUUACAUGAUAGUGGAAAAUUGCUUUUCCAGGAUUGCAUCACUGCACUUGCAAAACCACAGUGGGAUUUACAAGGACAUAUGAAAUGGUAAUCUCAACAAAUAUAGAAUGAUUUAACACAGUAUAUUAAGGCAAUUUUACAAUUAUUGUUCCGUGAAAACAUAAAAUCAAAAGAAAACUUAUUAUGCCACGAUAGAAAUGACUUCAAGAGAAUGAAGAAUUGGAAAUAACUAUUUCAGACCAUUUAUUGUAACAAGAGAAUUUCACACAAACUUCCUAGAAUUGGCAACCAAAUUUAUUUUCAGUCUUUAAUACAUAUUUGGUGCAUAAAAAAUCAGUUACCCUCUUUAGAUAAUAAUUCACCUCUCAAGAUAAACUAAGUAAACACAUGAUAACCAAAAUGAUGCAUUGCCUCAAAUAUGACCAUGAUAAAUUGGUUUAACUCACUCACCUGGACAUAAUGCACACCACCUAUUUUUGUUGGAUUGCUAACUAAUUCAAUGAUGGAAUUGCCAUUUGAUUUUCUAAAGUCUCGAAACCUAAAAGAGUUAUUUGUUGAAUCCAGAAAUUUCCAAGUCCCUGCACACAUCCAAAUAUGCCACUAGUCAAAUAUAUGUUGCAGUACAAUAUUGUGCUUAGACGUUCUCAAACGUCAUAAUUUUAUCAAUGCUUUUCACAAAUUAUAUUUGUAUUUCUUCAAUAAAAUAAAAAUGAGUAAGAAUGCAAAGCCAAACAAUUAUUAACAGGCUCAUCUGAGUGUAUAUCCUCCGACAUCUGACAAAAAUAGGCAACCUUACUCUAGCAAGUGAAAAAUUU
RNAcentral lists this long non-coding RNA (2291 nucleotides) under Citrus sinensis (sweet orange). RNAcentral's name for it is "long non-coding RNA (CSIN_LNC004634)". Lineage: Eukaryota; Viridiplantae; Streptophyta; Magnoliopsida; Sapindales; Rutaceae. The record is from RNAcentral.